RNAcentral lists this ribosomal RNA (272 nucleotides) under uncultured bacterium. RNAcentral describes it as "partial 16S ribosomal RNA". It matches the Rfam family "Bacterial small subunit ribosomal RNA", at positions 1228 to 1500 of the family's 1533-position model. The record is from RNAcentral.
CAAUGGCGCAUACAGAGGGAGGCGAGCCCGCAGGGGGAGCAAAUCCCUAAAAAGGCGUCCCAGUUCGGAUUGUAGUCUGCAACCCGACUACAUGAAGCCGGAAUCGCUAGUAAUCGCGGAUCAGAAUGCCGCGGUGAAUACGUUCCCGGGUCUUGUACACACCGCCCGUCACACCAUGGGAGUCGGGAACACCCGAAGUCCGUAGCCUAACCGCAAGGGGGGCGCGGCCGAAGGUGGGUUCGAUAAUUGGGGUGAAGUCGUAACAAGGUACC